RNAcentral lists this long non-coding RNA (996 nucleotides) under Homo sapiens (human). RNAcentral describes it as "non-protein coding lnc-CEP162-2:2". The record is from RNAcentral. Lineage: Eukaryota; Metazoa; Chordata; Mammalia; Primates; Hominidae.
GACCAGAUGACAUUUUUUAUUAUGCAUUUGCAUUAUUUCACAUCUUCAGAAUAACAAUACUAAUACAACCACUGCCAAAACUGCUGAAGUAGUUUAGCAUAUAUCUAUACUCUUUCUUUUUUAACUCUCAUUUUGUUUUAGUUCUACAAGUUUAAUGUAGAUAAUGUAAAUAAACAUUUGCUGAUACUUUUUGUCAGAGUCAAGAAAACUUUCUCUUCUUUUAAGCUAUUUAUAGCUUUUAAAAAUUGAGCAAAGUAUACUCUAAUGAGCAAGAUUUAAAACAUAAUUUCUUUCUACCUAAUUUCUCCAAAAUUUGGAAACUGUUUGUCAGUAUUCUUAACUUAUGGCAAUAUAGUUAUUUGCAUAAGUUCAAUAAGAAUUUAUUUCAUAACCAGACACAACUGGAGACAUGGUUAUUUUAUGAAGCUUUUGACUGGAAUGACAUAGUUUCAGAUGGCCUUGAGAAAAUGAGGCUGACUUAUGGAAUUGAUAAGAGCCCCUUGGAAGACCAGAUGACAUUUUUUAUUAUGCGUUUGCAUUAUUUCACAUCUUCAGAAUAACAAUACUAAUACAACCACUGCCAAAACUACUGAAAUAGUUUAGCAUAUACCUAUACUCUUUCUUUUUUAACUCUCAUUUUGUUUUAGUUCUACAAGUUUAAUGUUCUCCAAUCCUUUUAUUGAUGACUUUCUAGUCUUUCUGGUUGUUUAAAGCUUGUUCUUUUGUAGAUUACUUAGGAAAGGCUUUGGAAAACAAUAUUUCCCAAGUUUUUGCAUUCUAUAUUGGUUUAUGCCUUUAUAUUCACCAUUAAGUUUUGUUGGGUGUAAAAUCCUUGGCUCACAUUUUUUUCCAUCAGGAUAUCAAAUGUGGUACAACACUUUCUUAAAGCAUAAGGCAAUGCUGUUGAAAAGUCUGGUGAUGAUCUAAUUUUCUUUCCCUUUUAAGUAAUUAGUUUUUGUUUAGAUAACUAAAGGCAUUUACUUUUCAUGGUUCAGU